Molecule: ribosomal RNA, 495 nt
Filed under: uncultured bacterium
Lineage: Bacteria
Description: partial 16S ribosomal RNA
Rfam family: Bacterial small subunit ribosomal RNA
Source: RNAcentral
GACGAACGCUGGCGGCGUGCCUAAUACAUGCAAGUAGAACGCUGAAGGAGGAGCUUGCUUCUCCGGAUGAGUUGCGAACGGGUGAGUAACGCGUAGGUAACCUGCCUGGUAGCGGGGGAUAACUAUUGGAAACGAUAGCUAAUACCGCAUAAGAGUAGAUGUCGCAUGACAUUUGCUUAAAAGGUGCAACUGCACCACUACCAGAUGGACCUGCGUUGUAUUAGCUAGUUGGUGAGGUAACGGCUCACCAAGGCAACGAUACAUAGCCGACCUGAGAGGGUGAUCGGCCACACUGGGACUGAGACACGGCCCAGACUCCUACGGGAGGCAGCAGUAGGGAAUCUUCGGCAAUGGACGGAAGUCUGACCGAGCAACGCCGCGUGAGUGAAGAAGGGUGUCGGAUCGUAAAGCUCUGUUGUAAGAGAAGAACGAGUGUGAGAGUGGAAAGUUCACACUGUGACGGUAUCUUACCAGAAAGGGACGGCUAACUACGUG